This is a long non-coding RNA of Mytilus californianus (California mussel), 1499 nucleotides long. RefSeq lists it as uncharacterized. NCBI's taxonomy places the organism in Eukaryota, Metazoa, Mollusca, Bivalvia, Mytilida, Mytilidae. The transcript has 3 exons. The record is from RefSeq and is a predicted model, not a curated record.
GUCUAUCCACUUUUUGUUCACAAGGAAGUUGAAGCUAUACAGGAAAUAUGCCUUUCAAUUUACAGCGAAAAUGGAAGCUUUAUCGUUAUAUGUGAACUUUUCAUUUCUAUGUAGCAACAUUCCAGCAGCGCCUGCAUACGGAGUAUAUAUCUCCCAAUUGAUACGAUAUUCCCGGGCUUGUAUUUCCUAUCAUGAUAUCCUUGAUAGAGGAUUGCUGCUCACAAGGAAGCUAUUUAACCAAGAGUUCUAAAUGGUGAAGUUGAAAUCAUCCCUUCGUAAAUUUUACGGACACCAUCACGAGUUGAUUGACCGUUAUGGAAUAACCGUUUCACAGAUGCUAUCGGAUAUGUUCCUUAUGUCGUUCCCUUUUCACGAAUGUGACCUACCGAAUUAGACUAUUUACCGGAUUUGUAAUAACAUAAGCAACACGACGGGUGCCACAUGUGGAGCAGGAUCUGCUUACCCUUCCGGAGCACCUGAGAUCACCCCCAGUUUUUGGUGGGGUUCGUGAUGCUUAGUCUUUAGUUUUCUAUGUUGUGUCAUUUCUACUAUUAUUUGUCUGUUUGUCUUUUUAUUUUUGGCUAUGGCGUUGUCAGUUUGUUUUCGAUCUGUGAGUUUGACUGUCCCUCUGGUAUCUUUCGUCCCUCUCUUUUCGAACAACCUUAUUGGGCGUACUCAUUUCUUAUUCUAUAUUAACUUUUUUUCUUUUUAAUGUGAAGUUAAAGGAUAGAAAUGAACUUAAUUCCUUUUUGUGUCAAUUUUAAGAAAAAUUAUUAUAUGAAUACAGUUCUAAAAAACUUCAACGUGUAUCCCCUUCCUGUUCACAAGGAAGUUGAAGCAAUACAGGAAAUAUGCCUUUCAGUUUACAGUGAAAAUUAAAACUUUAUCGUUAUAUGCAGAUAACUUCGAACAACCCAGUUGUGCAUACUCAUUUCUUAUUCUACAAAACUUUUGUUGUUUUUAAUGUGAAUUUGUUAUUUUCAAGUUUAAAGAUAGAAAUGAACUGGAUUCCUUUUCUAGUCUUUGCGAUACAUGUAGUCCUUAUUGCUGGCUUCGUUAAGAAAUGUCCCAACAGAGAACAAUUUGACGUUGUAGCGGAAUUAAGUUGCCCUGAAAAUUUGGAUCUUUUCCACUGCUUACCUGUGCUUCCAGACUACAACGAUGUAAUCUUUAUUUGCAAACCUCCAAAAUGGUUUGUCAAUGGAACUUUUGCUGUGUGGUCUCCGAAAUACGAGAAAAUUACAUCAGUCCCAUGCGAGAACAAUAGAUACCAAGAACUUCCUUACAAAUCAAAUGAUAGAUUUGCUUUUAAAUGUUCAAUGGGAAAGAACUUUUGUACAGAAAAAGGACAGGCUAAACUAUUACAUAACCUUAAAACCGAAGAUAAUCUCUGUUUCUGUUCGGAUGGUUACACAUUUCUAACAGAACCUAAGAAUGGCACAUACUGCAACCCGGAUGUUGAAAACUGCACUUGCAUUUGGGAAGGAAUAGGCAAGUAA